GAUGAACGCUGGCGGCGUGCCUAAUACAUGCAAGUCGAGCGAACGGACGAGAAGCUUGCUUCUCUGAUGUUAGCGGCGGACGGGUGAGUAACACGUGGAUAACCUACCUAUAAGACUGGGAUAACUUCGGGAAACCGGAGCUAAUACCAGAUGAUAUUUUGAACCGCAUGGUUCAAAAGUGAAAGACGGUCUUUCGGUCACUUAUAGAUGGAUCCGCGCUGCAUUAGCUAGGUGGUAAGGUAACGGCUUACCAAGGCAACGAUGCAUAGCCGACCUGAGAGGGUGAUCGGCCACACUGGAACUGAGACACGGUCCAGAGUCAUACGGGAGGCAGCAGUAGGGAAUCUUCCGCAAUGGGCGAAGGCCUGACGGAGCAACGCCGCGUGAGUGAUGAAGGUCUUCGGAUCGUAAAACUCUGUUAUUAGGGAAGAACAUAUGUGAAAGUAGCUGUGCACAUCUUGACGGUACCUAAUCAGAAAGCCACGGCUAACUACGUG
This 497-nucleotide ribosomal RNA is filed under the name uncultured bacterium. Its description in RNAcentral is "partial 16S ribosomal RNA". It matches the Rfam family "Bacterial small subunit ribosomal RNA", at positions 28 to 507 of the family's 1533-position model. The record is from RNAcentral.